AUUAGGUGAAGUCAAUGAUCCCAUGCUGCCAAGAAAAGCCUCUAGCGAGCUUCGAGCGGCCCGUACCCCAAACCGACACAGGUGGUCAGGUAGAGAAUACCGAGGCGAUCGGGCGAACUGUGGUUAAGGAACUCGGCAAAUUACCCCCGUAACUUCGGGAGAAGGGGGGCCACAGACUGUCAUACCCCACGCGGGUGGCAGCAGUAGGUGGCCGCAGAGACCAGGGGGAAGCGACUGUUUACUAAAAACACAGGUCCGUGCGAAGUCGUAAGACGAUGUAUACGGACUGACGCCUGCCCGGUGCUGGAACGUUAAGGGGACCGGUUAGUCCGCAAGGGCGAAGCUGAGAACUUAAGCGCCAGUAAACGGCGGUGGUAACUAUAACCAUCCUAAGGUAGCGAAAUUCCUUGUCGGGUAAGUUCCGACCUGCACGAAUGGCGUAACGACUUCCCUACUGUCUCAACCACAGGCCCGGCGAAAUUGCACUACGAGUAAAGAUGCUCGUUACGCGCGGAAGGACGGAAAGACCCCGGGACCUUCACUAUAGCUUGACAUUGGUAUCCGAAUUUAAUUGUGUAGGAUAGGUGGGAGGCUUUGAUCCGCGGACGCCAGUCCGUCGGGGAGCCAACGUUGAAAUACCACUCUGUUGACUUUGGGUAUCUAACUUCGGACCGUGAUCCGGUUCAGGGACAGUGUCUGGUGGGUAGUUUAACUGGGGCGGUUGCCUCCUAAAAUGUAACGGAGGCGCCCAAAGGUUCCCUCAGCCUGGUUGGCAAUCAGGUGUUGAGUGCAAGUGCACAAGGGAGCUUGACUGUGAGACUGACAGGUCGAGCAGGGACGAAAGUCGGGACUAGUGAUCCGGCACCUGCGAGUGGAAGCGGUGUCGCUCAACGGAUAAAAGGUACCCCGGGGAUAACAGGCUGAUCUUCCCCAAGAGUCCAUAUCGACGGGAUGGUUUGGCACCUCGAUGUCGGCUCGUCGCAUCCUGGGGCUGGAGUAGGUCCCAAGGGUUGGGCUGUUCGCCCAUUAAAGCGGCACGCGAGCUGGGUUUAGAACGUCGUGAGACAGUUCGGUCCCUAUCCUCCGCGCGCGUAGGAGACUUGAGAAGAGCUGUCCCUAGUACGAGAGGACCGGGACGGACGAACCUCUGGUGUGCCAGUUGUCAUGCCAAUGGCACGGCUGGUUAGCUACGUUCGGAAGGGAUAACCGCUGAAAGCAUCUAAGCGGGAAGCUCGCUUCAACAUGAGGUCUCCCACCCCUUAGAGGGUUAAGGCCCCCAGCUAGACCACUGGGUUGAUAGGCCAGAAGUGUAAGCCUGGUAACAGGUUCAGCCGACUGGUACUAAUAGGCCGAGGACUUCACCC
Molecule: ribosomal RNA, 1364 nt
Filed under: metagenome
Description: bacterial LSU rRNA
Rfam family: Bacterial large subunit ribosomal RNA
Source: RNAcentral